GCAGCCGCGGUAAUUCCAGCUCCAAUAGCGUAUAUUAAAGUUGUUGCAGUUAAAAAGCUCGUAGUUGAACUUCGAAAUUUGUUCAUUGGUCAGGCUUAACUGUCUGUACUGGUGUUACGAAUUUCUACCUUCUGAGGAAUCCUCAUGCCAUUAAUUUGGUGCGGGGGGGAAUCAGGACUGUUACUUUGAAAAAAUUAGAGUGUUUAAAGCAGGCUAACGUCUGAAUACAUUAGCAUGGAAUAAUAAAAUAGGACGGUUUGGUUCUAUUUUGUUGGUUUCUAGGAUCACCGUAAUGAUUAAUAGGGAUAGUUGGGGGCAUUAGUAUUCAAUUGUCAGAGGUGAAAUUCUUGGAUUUAUUGAAGACUAACUACUGCGAAAGCAUUUGCCAAGGAUGUUUUCAUUAAUCAAGAACGAAAGUUAGGGGAUCGAAGACGAUCAGAUACCGUCGUAGUCUUAACCAUAAACUAUGCCGACUAGGGAUCGGACGAAGUUAAUUUUUAAAUGACUCGUUCGGCACCUUACGGG
RNAcentral lists this ribosomal RNA (525 nucleotides) under uncultured Glomeromycotina. Its description in RNAcentral is "SSU rRNA". It matches the Rfam family "Eukaryotic small subunit ribosomal RNA", at positions 570 to 1094 of the family's 1831-position model. Lineage: Eukaryota; Fungi; Glomeromycota. The record is from RNAcentral.